Molecule: ribosomal RNA, 459 nt
Filed under: uncultured bacterium
Lineage: Bacteria
Description: partial 16S ribosomal RNA
Rfam family: Bacterial small subunit ribosomal RNA
Source: RNAcentral
CCUACGGGUGGCAGCAGUGAGGAAUAUUGGUCAAUGGCCGCAGGGCUGAACCAGCCAAGUCGCGUGAGGGAUGACGGUUCUAUGGAUUGUAAACUUCUUUUGUCAGGGAGUAAAGGUCGCCACGUGUGGCGUUUUGCGAGUACCUGAAGAAAAAGCAUCGGCUAACUCCGUGCCAGCAGCCGCGGUAAUACGGAGGAUGCGAGCGUUAUCCGGAUUUAUUGGGUUUAAAGGGUGCGCAGGCGGAAUGUAAAGUCAGCGGUAAAAUUUCGGGGCUCAACCCCGUCGUGCCGUUGAAACUGGCGUUCUUGAGUGAGCGAGAGGUAGGCGGAAUGCGUGGUGUAGCGGUGAAAUGCAUAGAUAUCACGCAGAACUCCGAUUGUGAAGGCAGCAUACCGACGCUCAACUGACGCUGAUGCACGAAAGCGUGGGGAUCGAACAGGAUUAGAUACCCGGGUAGUC